AGAGUUUGAUCCUGGCUCAGGAUGAACGCUAGCGAUAGGCCUAACACAUGCAAGUCGAGGGGCAGCACAUGAAGUAGCAAUACAGAUGGUGGCGACCGGCGCACGGGUGAGUAACACGUAUGCAACCUACCUUCCACAGGAGAAUAACCCGUUGAAAAACGGACUAAUACUCCAUAAUACAGGGGUCCCGCAUGGGAAUAUUUGUUAAAGAUUUUUUUCGGUAGAAGAUGGGCAUGCGUUCCAUUAGCUAGUUGGUUGAGGUAACGGCUCACCAAGGCAACGAUGGAUAGGGGAACUGAGAGGUUUAUCCCCCACACUGGUACUGAGACACGGACCAGACUCCUACGGGAGGCAGCAGUGAGGAAUAUUGGUCAAUGGAGGCAACUCUGAACCAGCCACGUCGCGUGAAGGAUGACGGCCCUACGGGUUGUAAACUUCUUUUAUACAGGAAUAAAGUGAGUCACGUGUGACUUUUUGCAUGUACUGUAUGAAUAAGGAUCGGCUAACUCCGUGCCAGCAGCCGCGGUAAUACGGAGGAUCCAAGCGUUAUCCGGAUUUAUUGGGUUUAAAGGGUGCGCAGGCGGAAGAUUAAGUCGGCGGUGAAAUUUUGCAGCUCAACUGUAAAAGUGCCAUCGAUACUGGUUUUCUUGAGUGUGGAUGAAGUAGGCGGAAUUUGUGGUGUAGCGGUGAAAUGCAUAGAUAUCACGAGGAACUCCGAUUGCGCAGGCAGCUUACUAGGCCAUAACUGACGCUCAGGCACGAAGGCGUGGGGAUCAAACAGGAUUAGAUACCCUGGUAGUCCACGCAGUAAACGAUGAUUACUCGCUGUUUGCGAUACACAGUAAGCGGCUUAGCGAAAGCGUUAAGUAAUCCACCUGGGGAGUACGUUCGCAAGAAUGAAACUCAAAGGAAUUGACGGGGGCCCGCACAAGCGGAGGAACAUGUG
This 946-nucleotide ribosomal RNA is filed under the name Proteiniphilum sp. EBM-39. RNAcentral's name for it is "bacterial SSU rRNA". It matches the Rfam family "Bacterial small subunit ribosomal RNA", at positions 8 to 943 of the family's 1533-position model. The record is from RNAcentral. Lineage: Bacteria; Pseudomonadati; Bacteroidota; Bacteroidia; Bacteroidales; Dysgonomonadaceae.